Molecule: long non-coding RNA, 1383 nt
Organism: Carassius auratus (goldfish)
Lineage: Eukaryota; Metazoa; Chordata; Actinopteri; Cypriniformes; Cyprinidae
Exons: 5
Source: RefSeq, a predicted model, not a curated record
ACCGUAGUUUGUCUGAAUAUUUGAUUCUGAUUGGCUAAAAGGUGUGCAUUAAAAUAAUUUGAUUCACUGGUAGAUCCACUCAGUGUAAUUACAAUUAAAGUUAAAUGUGCUGCUGCAAUCACAUACAUGCAAACAAAAUACUUGCACACGAGAUCGGAGAUUAAAAUAAUGUGAACUGUGACAUUUUGCAUUUAUUUUUUUUAAAUAAUUUUUUUAAAACCUCAGUCGCAUUGCUUCACUGCCACUCAUAAAUCCUCUCCUGUGUUCUCAUGGAGUAGUCAAGUGUCCAUUGUGAGCAUACUUCAGAAUCUCAGCAGAAGUACUUUGAUUUUGGAUGCUGCUCUGCUCACAUACUAAUUAAUGAUUAAUGUUUGAAAGUGAAGUGUAAAAUAAAUUAUAUAAAUAUUUUAUUUGACUGGGUAAUUACAGUAAUAUUUCAGUCUUCAUAUAUUAAUAAUUGAAUUAAAAAAAUAAGCAAAAUAAUAAUGUUAUUAUUUAGAUGUUGUUAUUUGUUCAAAUUUACAUGGUUUCCAAAAACACUGUGAAUGGAAACCUAGACAACCAUCACAUCUAAGAUAUAAUGUGUACCAAUAACCGGUUUUGUUUUGUUGUUUUUGUGUAAACAGAUAUUGCAGAUCUGGAGAAAAAUGCAGCACUGCUAAUCUUACCAUGUUUAUUCACAGAAAACAUCAAGUUUCUCUUCUGUCUGGACAAUCAUAUUCACACAGCGCUGUCUCGCGAGUGCAGUGGAAGGUUUUGAAUUCCAACGGUCGAGAAGAGAUUGAUCCCCGUCUGCUGAUUUAAAUUGAUGGUCUGACAGAAAUAUUGUUGUGCGGAUUUACACUAAAACACGAAAGAGCCUGAACCGCGACAGUGUCACAAGUUGCCUUACAUCCAUAAGUUUUGUUGUGCUUGUUGCAAACUGUUAAAUUAAGUGUUUUCCGAUCCUAAGCUUAGAAAAAAAGAUGCAAGACUUCAAACUUUCCAGUACUCCUGUGUACUGAUAAUCCGGGUUCCACCCAGUCCCAGGAGAUUAUAUUAAACCUGGAAAAUAUUGGAGAAGAUCAAUUAAGUUUUCAGGAGCACAUUACUGUGAUAAAUGCUGAGCUAUGUAAAAGUCAACCUGCUACACCAACAUAUCAAAAAUCGAAUGAGAUGCACUCUUUUUAAAAGGGUUGAUUUAAUGACAAAAUCAACAUGAGAGGUCAUGGACAUGUUCCCAUUUCUUCGGGUUCCACAAAUUCUGCUGCAUGAAGUGAAGAUGCGGUUUGGGAAGGACCUUCAUCUCAAUCUACAGACUGCUCUUCAAUUAAAUUAAAUUAAAUUAAAUACAUGCAUUUAGCAGACGCGACUUACUGUGCAUUCAGGCUAUCAAUUUUUUAC